RNAcentral lists this ribosomal RNA (429 nucleotides) under uncultured beta proteobacterium. RNAcentral describes it as "bacterial SSU rRNA". It matches the Rfam family "Bacterial small subunit ribosomal RNA", at positions 355 to 776 of the family's 1533-position model. Lineage: Bacteria; Pseudomonadati; Pseudomonadota; Betaproteobacteria. The record is from RNAcentral.
UGGGGAAUUUUGGACAAUGGGGGCAACCCUGAUCCAGCCAUGCCGCGUGAGUGAAGAAGGCCUUCGGGUUGUAAAGCUCUUUCGGCCGGAACGAAAUCGCGUACGUGAAUAACGUGCGUGGAUGACGGUACUGGAAGAAGAAGCACCGGCUAACUACGUGCCAGCAGCCGCGGUAAUACGUAGGGUGCGAGCGUUAAUCGGAAUUACUGGGCGUAAAGCGUGCGCAGGCGGUUCUGCAAGUCAGAUGUGAAAUCCCCGGGCUUAACCUGGGAACUGCGUUUGAAACUACGGAGCUAGAGUACGGCAGAGGGGGGUGGAAUUCCACGUGUAGCAGUGAAAUGCGUAGAUAUGUGGAGGAACACCGAUGGCGAAGGCAGCCCCCUGGGCCGAUACUGACGCUCAGGCACGAAAGCGUGGGGAGCAAACAGG